This is a long non-coding RNA of Macrobrachium nipponense, 227 nucleotides long. RefSeq lists it as uncharacterized. The transcript is spliced from 3 exons. The record is from RefSeq and is a predicted model, not a curated record. Lineage: Eukaryota; Metazoa; Arthropoda; Malacostraca; Decapoda; Palaemonidae.
UAGAUGUUCCCUCAUCAGUUGAUACAAGUAUCACCUCCCCAGAGGCCCAAAUCAGUUGAUACGAGUAGUAUCACCUCUCCCAUUCCUUCAGACUCCCAAGCACCUGCCCAUCCCACUCCAUAGCCCAGCCACCCACUCUCAUGUACCAUAUGACCAUCCCAGUAAGCAAGCCAACCACUAGAAUUUGACUGGCAUGCACCUGUGACUUACAUAAACCAGACCUCUAC